This is a long non-coding RNA of Orbicella faveolata, 2048 nucleotides long. NCBI's taxonomy places the organism in Eukaryota, Metazoa, Cnidaria, Anthozoa, Scleractinia, Merulinidae. The record is from RefSeq and is a predicted model, not a curated record.
AGUAUUUGGCCAAGCUAGUUUGGGUCCUUUUUCUUAGAUUACACAUAUAUCGAUUCAGUUUUCCUUUACACGCUUUACAAUGCAUGUGUGAGGGUGAGGGUAGGCUUUUGUGUUAGCCAGUCUGAUUCAGUAUUGCAUACUUUCUCCGCGCUGAAUGCAUGAAAACCCUGCAUGAAAACAGAUUUCAAUAGAUCAUCAAGGCACUUGUUUGUCAAAAACAGCCCACGUCUUUUAUCCAAUCAGCACACACCAAAUCCUGAUCACAUGGGCGACUUAUUGACCUUUCUGCUUACGUAGGAUGUAUUGUGUUACAUUAGCACAUCAAGUGUUCCAUUUUUCUGGCUAAAAUAGUGAUCAAAGUACGUUAUUCUCUAACGCCAACAGCAGCCACUCCCCUCGCCCUUGAAAAAUCCUAGUUCCGCCCCUGAGUCUUUCAUUAAGACACCUAACUGUUGCUUACUAGUAUUUGACAAAAUUAGUGUAGGCCCUUUGUCUUCCUUUUAUAUAUAUAUUUAUAUAUCCAUUCAGUUUUCUUUUCUACUGUUAAUGAUAAGUAUAGGCUUUUAUGUGAGACUCUGUGACUCAAACAUAGUUUUAACUUAUCGAGAAUAAGUGGACAUGGCAUUCGGAGCAUGACAAUAGGUUUCACUAGUCCAUCCGAGAACAUGAGAUUGUUGUUUGUCAAGAACAGCCAAUGUCUUUUAUCCAAUCUGCACACACCAAAUCAUCAGGUCAACGACCUAUUUAAAAGCUUCAUUUGACCCUUCUACUUGCGUAGAGUGUAUAUAUCGUUGUCAUGAAUUAGCACUAUUGUCCAACUGACUCAGCAAACGUAGUGCUUGGCUUCGACUGCGUUUAUUGGGAGACUAAGGGCGUAACAAAGCAAAACUUCGUCAUCGGACUGUUUUAAGCGGCACUGCUAACGGGAAAGAAUUUCGUUUAGAAGGAAAACGGGUGGGGCGUCCUUAUGAUGGCGAGCUCAGUACGGUGCUGAAAUCGAGUUCUGGACCGCUUCAUAUUCCAGUGCAUCUGCCGGAUGUCGUGGCCAUUUUUGGUUAUCCGACAUACAGCAACUAUCACGAGGACACUAAGGACCUCUUCAAGAUCUCGGAUGGCUACGAAUACGAAAGCGACAUCAAGUUUGAAAAUGGAGGCCACGUGAAGACGCUGCACAAGAUCACUCGCCAUUCCGAUCACUUGUCUGGGGACUUCAAGAUACUAGAGUGCAACGUGCAAUCUCCAGAGCUGGAAUCUAUCGAGCCCAUCGUGGAAACCUUCAUCCCAGCUGGCCCAGGAAAGAUCAACAGUCAAGCUGUGUUAGCCUGACGCAAAAAGGACGGAGGCUUCUUCACUGCCCGUUGUGAGAGCCAGUACCGGCUGAAUCACAAAGAAUGCCUGCCUCAUCUGCAGUUCCGCGUGGUGCACUUCACCACCAAUCAUACUUAGGAAGUACUAGAUCAGAAGGAGAGUCUGCAUGUGAUUCGUCAUUUGCCUGCCUUGUAAACUAGAAGAAGUAAGGAACUACCAUCAACUGAGAUUAUGCUGCUUUUAUGCUAAGCGUUUGGGUUAAAAACUGCAGGGUAUAGGCCAAAUAAAACUUGUUCGAAAUAAUAGUUUAAAUUCUUAAAGAGGUAACUUUUAUCGCAGUGAACGAAAGCGAGUCCAAUGCGACACUAACAUGUCUCUAACAUGGCGCUUGAUCGGUAAAUCAGUGACACAAUUAGGAUGUUUGUAUUAGUACUAGCUGUAAACUGAACUCUGCUGCCUGCGCUUGUUACUGAUCAUUUGUAGCGAAGAUCAUGUUUUGCAUUUCAUGUAUUGAUUAGUAUUAGUCUAUAGUAAUGGAAGAGGCUAAAUAAGAUACCUGUGACUGGUGAUGGACUCGUUCAUUGUGUAGGCUGAUCUUGAUCAUAAGUUAUCAAAAUAAGAAUCAUUGAUCAAAUUCAGUGUGCCGCGAGUCGAUCGGAUGAAAGGCGCACGAGUAAAACCAAAAAAACAGAGAUUUACGAUAUUUGACUCUUGAGGAAUUAAAGGAAGGUUUCAGUUCA